GGACCUGACUGCUAUCGGAUUGAUACUAAGCCAUGCGAGUCAUUGUAGCAACACAAGGCAUACGGCUCAGUAACGCGUAGUCAACCUAACCUAUGGACGGGAAUAACCCCGGGAAACUGAGAAUAAUGCCCGAUAGAACAUUAUGCCUGGAAUGGUUUAUGUUCCAAAUGAUUUAUCGCCGUAGGAUGGGACUGCGGCCUAUCAGUUUGUUGGUGAGGUAAUGGCCCACCAAGACUAUUACAGGUACGGGCUCUGAGAGGAGUAGCCCGGAGAUGGGUACUGAGACACGGACCCAGGCCCUAUGGGGCGCAGCAGGCGAGAAAACUUUGCAAUGUGCGAAAGCACGACAAGGUUAAUCCGGGUGGUUUCUGCUAAAGAAACCUUUUGUCAGUCCUAGAAACACUGAUGAAUAAGGGGUGGGCAAGUUCUGGUGU
RNAcentral lists this ribosomal RNA (434 nucleotides) under uncultured archaeon. Its description in RNAcentral is "bacterial SSU rRNA". It matches the Rfam family "Archaeal small subunit ribosomal RNA", at positions 19 to 458 of the family's 1478-position model. The record is from RNAcentral.